GAUGAACGCUGGCGGCGUGCCUAAUACAUGCAAGUCGAGCGAACAGACGAGGAGCUUGCUCCUCUGACGUUAGCGGCGGACGGGUGAGUAACACGUGGAUAACCUACCUAUAAGACUGGGAUAACUUCGGGAAACCGGAGCUAAUACCGGAUAAUAUAUUGAACCGCAUGGUUCAAUAGUGAAAGACGGUUUUGCUGUCACUUAUAGAUGGAUCCGCGCCGCAUUAGCUAGUUGGUAAGGUAACGGCUUACCAAGGCAACGAUGCGUAGCCGACCUGAGAGGGGGAUCGGCCAAACUGGAACUGAGACACGGUCCAGACUCCUACGGGAGGCAGCAGUAGGGAAUCUGCAGCAAUGGGCGAAAGCCUGACGGAGCAACGCCGCGUGAGUGAUGAAGGUCUUCGGAUCGUAAAACUCUGUUAUUAGGGAAGAACAAAUGUGUAAGUAACUAUGCACGUCUUGACGGUACCUAAUAAGAAAGCCACGGCUAACUACGU
RNAcentral lists this ribosomal RNA (496 nucleotides) under uncultured bacterium. Its description in RNAcentral is "partial 16S ribosomal RNA". It matches the Rfam family "Bacterial small subunit ribosomal RNA", at positions 28 to 506 of the family's 1533-position model. The record is from RNAcentral.